RNAcentral lists this ribosomal RNA (457 nucleotides) under uncultured bacterium. RNAcentral describes it as "bacterial SSU rRNA". It matches the Rfam family "Bacterial small subunit ribosomal RNA", at positions 340 to 786 of the family's 1533-position model. The record is from RNAcentral.
UACGGAAGGCAGCAGUGGGGAAUAUUGCACAAUGGGCGCAAGCCUGAUGCAGCCAUGCCGCGUGUAUGAAGAAGGCCUUCGGGUUGUAAAGUACUUUCAGUCGUGAGGAAGGUGUUAAGGUUAAUAACCUUAGCAAUUGACGUUAGCGACAGAAGAAGCACCGGCUAACUCCGUGCCAGCAGCCGCGGUAAUACGGAGGGUGCGAGCGUUAAUCGGAAUUACUGGGCGUAAAGGGCACGCAGGCGGUUAAUUAAGUUGGAUGUGAAAUCCCCGGGCUUAACCUGGGAAUGGCAUUCAAGACUGGUUAGCUAGAGUCUUGUAGAGGGGGUAGAAUUCCAUGUGUAGCGGUGAAAUGCGUAGAGAUGUGGAGGAAUACCGGUGGGCGAAGGCGGGCCCCUGGGACAAACGACUGACGCUCAUGUGCGAAAGCGUGGGGAGCAAACAGGGAUUAGAUACC